UACAGAGGUGGCAAGCGUUGUUCGGAAUUACUGGGCGUAAAGGGCGCGUAGGCGGUUCGAUAAGUCCCGUGUGAAAGCCCCCGGCUCAACUGGGGAACUGCACGGGAAACUGACGGACUUGAGUUCGGGAGAGGGAAGCGGAAUUCCGGGUGUAGCGGUGGAAUGCGUAGAGAUCCGGAAGAACACCGGUGGCGAAGGCGGCCUGCUGGGAUCUUGCUGACGCUGAGGCGCGACAGCGUGGGGAGCAAACAGG
This 253-nucleotide ribosomal RNA is filed under the name uncultured bacterium. Its description in RNAcentral is "partial 16S ribosomal RNA". It matches the Rfam family "Bacterial small subunit ribosomal RNA", at positions 524 to 776 of the family's 1533-position model. The record is from RNAcentral.